AGCCCAUGGUGUGGGUAAAUCCUCAUCAUUUCCUUAUAUCUCUCCCAUACUUCGAAAUGUGAUUCGUUAUCUUUUUGUCUAAAUCCAUUGAUUUGGAUUCUUAGCAU
Lathyrus oleraceus (garden pea) is the source of this 107-nucleotide small nucleolar RNA. Lineage: Eukaryota; Viridiplantae; Streptophyta; Magnoliopsida; Fabales; Fabaceae. The record is from RefSeq and is a predicted model, not a curated record.